This 1153-nucleotide long non-coding RNA is filed under the name Nicotiana benthamiana. Its description in RNAcentral is "long non-coding RNA (NBEN_LNC039442)". The record is from RNAcentral. Lineage: Eukaryota; Viridiplantae; Streptophyta; Magnoliopsida; Solanales; Solanaceae.
GAGUAUUUUUGGGGAUCUUUUUGCUACAAAAACUUGCUCUUCAAGGCAAUUUGAUGCUCUUUUUAUAGGUCUAAGGGAGGCCAGCCUUACAUUUUCUGUUUCCUUUCUAAUCAUUUUUAAAUUUUGUUUUAUUCAAAUUCACUCCUAAGUUAACUUCUAAUUCUAAAAUAAAACCCAUUCCUCCCCCAGAUAAGAGCUGUCAUUCUCUCCUCACUCCUCACAUGCCUUUCCAACCUUAUCUACUAGAACCUUCCUACAUAACAGCCUAUAACUCUAAUUGAAACUGAAAACUAAUCACACUGAGUCAUUAAAGAAAACUAACAUUUGAGUUACCUAAUCAAGAUGUUGAAAACAGAUUGCAAUGUACAAUUACGGGUCGACUUAUUAUCAGAAUGCACCAACAUUAGUAUUAAGAGCAAUAUUGGACUGAACAUCUAACUGGGAAAAACAAUUUGCGAGAAGGAUAUUGAACUGAAGCUAAUUGACUGAGUUAAUUAGAACUAAACUAAUACCUAACAAUUAGACCAACAUUUGUCCAACUAAAACUGAAUAAGACAAAAUUCAAAUAAGCUAAACAAAAAUGGGAAUUAAACUCAGAGCGAAAUUGGACCGAUAUUAAACUGGCAAUCAAACUUAUUAGGAAACUAAUUUCGAUUAACAGAUAAAAAGAGAAACUAAAAAAAAAACAAAGAGGGACUCACUUCUUGAAAAUUGGUUCAUAGUUUGUGAAGUCUUGGUGGUAUUCGACCCUCGCCAAAGGUCGAUUCUUCACGAGGAGACGAGGCAACCUUGGCGUGUUAAUUUGAGACCAAACGAAGGACCUAAGGACUUGACUACCAUCUUUGACUGAAAAUUCGAGGCGUUGUAGACUGAUUUGAAGGAGACCCUUGAUGAGUCGGAGGAGAAGGUCUAGUGGUGUGAGUUUGGACGCGUUUGGGCAAGUUUCGACUUGGCCGGACAAUUUCAGUCGAAGAUUUGGACAGUCUAACUGUGAUUCGAAGGAAGCCAAUGUGAUAUUUGGAAUGAGGGUAUCGAGGAGGGUUGGUGGUGUUAUUUUGGAUGGGAACGGUGAAGAUGGCGUUUCCAGCCGGUGAGGAUUCCGGCGAGGAUUUGCAGAGAGUUAUACGAGGAUGGAAGCCUGGUCGUUUAGGGU